GAUGGCGGAGGCGGAGCGGGCAGCGCUGCCGCCGCCGCCGGCGGAAAGUUCCCGGGACGGGGCCGAAGCGGAGCUGUCCCCCGGCAUGGAGCGGCGGCCCGAGCCCGGGGAGGCGGCGGCAGCGGCGGAGGAGGAGGAGGAGGCGCGCCCUGCCUCGCCGCCGUUCUUCCUCCUCUACCCCGGCCAUGGAGGCGGCGCCGCGGCCGCGCCGCCCGGGCUGUGGAGACCCCCGGCGCCCCGCGGCGGGGCCGCGCUGCCCGUGCUGGUGCUGAGCUACCCGGGGCCGGACGGAGCCCACUCUUGGGAGGAUUUGACAGAUGUGGUGGAGCAAUUGCGCGAUGAUGAUUCCGAAGACCCGAAUUACCUGAUGGCUAACGAGCGCAUGAACCUGAUGAACAUGGCCAAGCUGAGCAUCAAGGGGCUCAUCGAGUCCGCGCUGAACCUGGGCCGCACGCUGGACUCGGACUACGCCCCCCUGCAGCAGUUCUUCGUGGUGAUGGAGCACUGCCUCAAGCACGGCCUCAAAGCCAAAAAGACUUUUCUCGGGCAAAAUAAGUCAUUUUGGGGACCUCUAGAAUUAGUAGAAAAACUUGUUCCUGAGGCUGCAGAGAUUACAGCAAGUGUUAAGGAUCUCCCAGGGCUCAAGACACCUGUGGGCAGAGGAAGAGCUUGGCUUCGCCUGGCUCUGAUGCAGAAGAAACUUUCAGAGUACAUGAAAGCCUUGAUUAACAGAAAGGAUCUUCUCAGUGAAUUCUACGAGCCCAAUGCUCUGAUGAUGGAGGAGGAAGGUGCCAUCAUUGCUGGCCUCCUCGUAGGUCUGAAUGUCAUUGAUGCCAACUUCUGCAUGAAGGGAGAGGACCUGGACUCCCAGGUCGGGGUUAUCGAUUUCUCCAUGUAUUUGAAAGAUGGGAACAGCACGAAAGGCAGCGAAGGGGAUGGUCAGAUAACUGCUAUUUUGGACCAGAAGAACUAUGUAGAAGAGCUCAACAGACAUCUAAGUGCUACAGUCAACAACCUGCAGGCCAAGGUGGAUGCCUUGGAGAAAUCCAACACAAAGCUGACUGAGGAGCUUGCAGUUGCCAACAACAGGAUCAUUACACUGCAGGAGGAGAUGGAGCGGGUUAAGGAAGAAAGCUCCUACAUCCUGGAGUCCAGCCGUAAGGCCACCAAGGACAGAAGUGCUGACGGGCAGGCGCUGACUGAGGCACGGAAGCAGCUGAAGGAGGAGACUCAGCUGCGCCUGGAUGUUGAGAAGGAGCUGGAGGCGCAGAUCGGGAUGCGGCAGGAGAUGGAGCUGGCCAUGAAGAUGCUGGAGAAGGAUGUCUGUGAAAAGCAGGAUGCCCUGGUGGCACUCAGACAGCAGCUGGAUGAUCUCAGGGCUCUAAAGCAUGAACUGUCUUUCAAGCUGCAGAGUUCAGACAUGGGAGUGAAACAGAAGAGUGAAUUAAACAGCCGCUUGGAAGAAAAAACAAAUCAGAUGGCUGCCACCAUCAAACAGCUGGAACAAAGUUCAUGUGGCUCAAAUCCAGAUUGCGACAGGCAGAGAAGGACCGGCAGCUGGCCCUGCAGGACAACCGGCUCUUCAAGCAGGAGUUUGGGGACAAAAUCAACAGCCUCCAGCUGGAAGUGGAAGAGCUCUCCCGGCAGCGGUGAAGAGACCCUUUUCCAACCUCUUUUCUGGGCUGUUGGUGCCGUGUCCAGGGGAGAGCAGGGGGAUGGUGGCAGAGGGAAGCAGCGGAUGGAGGAGGGAGCGGGCCAAGUUUUGUCUGAGAUGCCACGAGGUGUAACUCCAGGGAGGGAAGUCCUUGCUAACAGCAUCACUCGACAGUGGCACAGACUAGUUGCAGAUGCCCUACCCCUGGAGUGGGCAAGGCCAGGUUGGACAGGGCUUGGAGCUGUCUGAUCCAGUGGAAGGUGUCCCUGCCCAUGGCACAGGGUGGAACAAGGUAGUCUGAAGGUGCUUGGCAACUCAAACCUUAUGUGAUUCUGUGGUAAUUGGGAAUCCAAAGCUAACAUGACAGUUUGUUGCUCCUGGGCAGGGAUUGAGCAGCCAUGUCUCUGGCUGGAGCCAACACUGAAGGUGCUGGAGCAAGGGCAGUGAUUUUGGUUGUCUUAUCUGACACACAGUACUUUGACAUGGAUUUUUUUCCCUGCUCUUAGUUUUGCUGGAACUCCAACAGAGACUUUGUCAAAAGCCAUCACAUCUUCCCCUGCAGCCUGAUCACUUGAGCAGUGACAGGGACGCAGACCAACCUCUUUCCUUAAAGACAAGAGCAUCUCCUUCAGCCUUGACCCAUCUGUGGCCUGUUGCAAGGUCACUGGGAUGAGCUCUGUGGGAGCAUUGCUGGCUACAUGGAGGUUUUUGUCCCUUCUUCCCCUCCUGGCCCAGCUUUUUGUUUCUUUUUUCCAAAAGCUGCUCUGACAAGCACAAAGAGGCUUUGGUCAGCAAUUGGUGCAAGGUCCUGGGUGUGCAUGGGUGAGCUUAGGAGGACACGGGCUCAUGGGUCUGGUUUUGCAUCAGAUGGAUGCUCAAUGAUGCCAGAAUUAGACAAAGGAGUUGGAGAUUUUUCGUCCUGACACGUUACGGCUAAACACACCGCGAGACAAUUUUGGGUUCCAAGAGGCAGUUUUAGCUCUUGAGUUAGGGGUGUGAAGAAAGGGUCAGACAGCUCAUCAGUAGUCAAUGCCAAGUGUCCCCAAACCAUCCUUUAUUCACAAUUCCACCUGGCAUUCCAGGAGCCACCUAGAACUGGAGCUAAGGCGGGAAAGAGACAGAUGGUCUCACAGUCACCAGCGCAGCCAAGAAAGCAAAAAAGGCUCCAAGAAUUGGCUCAGACAGGAUGGGAAGCUCAAAGUCCAGGAAGAAAAUGCUAAACUGAAG
This is an RNA transcript of Onychostruthus taczanowskii (white-rumped snowfinch), 2881 nucleotides long. It is a transcript of the gene named RUN and FYVE domain containing 3, with no coding region annotated. The transcript is spliced from 15 exons. The record is from RefSeq and is a predicted model, not a curated record. Lineage: Eukaryota; Metazoa; Chordata; Aves; Passeriformes; Passeridae.